Molecule: ribosomal RNA, 493 nt
Filed under: uncultured bacterium
Lineage: Bacteria
Description: partial 16S ribosomal RNA
Rfam family: Bacterial small subunit ribosomal RNA
Source: RNAcentral
GACGAACGCUGGCGGCGUGCUUAACACAUGCAAGUCGAACGGAAAGGCCUGCUUUCCCUUGUGGAUUGCGGGUACUCGAGUGGCGAACGGGUGAGUAACACGUGAGUGAUCUGCCCCCAACUUGGGUUUAAGCCUGGGAAACUGGGUCUAAUUCCCGAUAGGACUGCAGGGUGGUGCCUGUGGUGGAAAACGAUUUUCUAGUGGUUGGGGAUGAGCUCGCGGCCUAUCAGCUUGUUGGUGGGGUAAUGGCCUACCAAGGCGGCGACGGGUAGCCGGCCUGAGAGGGUGGACGGCCACAUUGGGACUGAGAUACGGCCCAGACUCCUACGGGAGGCAGCAGUGGGGAAUAUUGCACAAUGGGCGGAAGCCUGAUGCAGCGACGCCGCGUGGGGGAUGACGGCCUUCGGGUUGUAAACUCCUUUCGACCGCGAGGAAGCCACCUGGUUGGAAGGGUGGUGACGGUAGUGGUAGAAGAAGCACCGGCGAACUACGU